RNAcentral lists this long non-coding RNA (5763 nucleotides) under Nicotiana tabacum (common tobacco). RNAcentral's name for it is "long non-coding RNA (NTAB_LNC014150)". The record is from RNAcentral. Lineage: Eukaryota; Viridiplantae; Streptophyta; Magnoliopsida; Solanales; Solanaceae.
GUGCAUAGCCCUACCUUCAACUACCAAACGACCACGGUUUAGGUGGAAUGGUCAACUAUCAGUCGUGGCCUUUCAUCUUUUUUGAUCCAAAGGCAACAAACUGGCCAAAAAUAUAAAAUAUAACUGUCCGAAUAGCUUAUCCCCCCCCAAAUGACCUCUCUCAUUCUCUCACAUACCACUCUUCUCCCCCCUCUCACACUCCACCUUACGCCACCAUCAGAAAUUGCCAACGGCAUCGGCACCACUCCAAACAGCCCCAAAAUACCACCAUACAAUCCCCAUCACUCCCUCGUCUCUAAUACACAAUAAUCUUCUCCGAAAACCUCACCGUUUACCACGUCUAAUAGAUCUGAAAAUCACCAAAAAACCUAAUACAUUCCCUUUUAUGAUUCUCCUGAUUUUUAGCCCAUUUGAGGUUGAUACUUACAUCAAUCGAAUCCUUAAGAUGAACGCUAUCAUUUCAUGUCGGUCUUUGGCCAUUUCAUGAUCGGCAGAAAAUGGUCAAAAUUCCAUAAACCAUCCAAGCUCGCCGCUUCGUUCCUCCUGUUGUUAUGCUGACUUGAAAAGGCUAUUGUUAUACGCCGCAUUGGCCAAAAAUGGAUAACCUCCGGCUAGUGCUCGUAUAGCAAUAAUCUUUGCCUGCCGGAGUCCUGUUGGAUUGCCUGCGAUGUCCACUUCUGUCGGUAAUCUUAUUUCUCUCCUUCCAUGAAUUUGUUUCCUGUUAUCAUUAGAUAAAUUUGGUAUCUACAUAUUCUAGGUUUUUAGUUACUCAUGUUUUAGUUACUUAAUUUUGUUUUCCUUUUGAUUUGUUUGUUUGUUUUAAUUAAUUGCUUGAUUAGUUUAGUGUCAAUUGCAUCAGAGUUUGUUUAGAUAUUUUAGGUUCUGAUUCUUUCGCGUUAGUAUGUAAUUUUAGAGCUUGCCUAUUGGAAAACAGGGCCAGCGAUGUUGACUAGGUGACUCAGGGCUUCGUUGUUGGGCAUGUAGGUUUUUUACACUUGACGUCCAAGUCUUUAAUUAAAUCUAGCCCAUCUAAUAAUAAAAAUGCUAGAUGAAGCAAUAAAUAACAGGGAAUUUAAGGGGCAAUUAUUAAAGCAAAGAAGGAAGGAAUCUUAGUUAUUCAUUUAGGAAGCUUCUAAGAGGGACUAACUUGCAAGAAAAGAAAAGAAAUGGGAGGGUGUUAGGGACUAAAGAGCAAAACAAAAAUACAAAAGGGGGAAAAAAGAAAGAAAAUAACUGAAAAAGAAUCUCUGCAUUUCUAUAUAACAGACCAAUUCUGCAUUCAUACUGGGGACGGAUAUUCACCCUCAAUACACUCUUCCUAAUACUCUCUCAUUCUCACAUGCCUAAGCAUUUUAGUAGCAGCUGGAACUUGCAGAAAAUCCAUAUCUGAAUUUGAAAGUUUGAAAACAAAACAAAGAAAAACAAAGGAAAGUAGCAUACAAAGGAUAGUCUGUUGGAAUUAUAGUUGGUUCAUCUUCAUUUUUUUUGUUUCAAUAUCAUUUAAUUGGGAGUUGCUGCUUUUCUUUCCUGAAUUUACUAAACUUUGCUUUUUUGGCCUUUAUUUGGCAUUUCCUAAAAUGUUUUCUACACAACCAGGUAUUGAAUCAUGAAUUAAAGCCUAUGAUUUGUCAAAAAAUUUGAGUUUCUGUUGGUUUGUCAUGAAAUCUGAAUUGCUGCUGCAAUAUGUGUUCCAUUUUCUCCAUGACUUUGUUUUUUACUCAAAUUUGUAUAUAGACAUGCCUCUGUUGGCAUCAGUUCUCUGUUUAUUUUGUUUAUUUAACUGAAAUCCAAAUUUAAACUACUCACAAGCUAGUUUAGUGUUAUUGACAAUAAUUUACAACAUUUAAACAUCUCAUGAUAUCAUUAGAUCUGUACUUAGUUGUGUUUGUUGUUUGUUCAUGAGAAAAUUUCUGCGGUAGUAUAGAAUAUACAACAUGUUAAAAUACAGUUUGUUCAUCUAGUUAGAAGCAGAUUUAGAGUUGAUGUUUUUAGGUUAAACGAAUAUAAAAAGAUGUAUUUAUCUCAUGUCUCAAUAUUCUAAUUAGUAUGUGUCUGAAAUCUAGAAAUCUGAUUCGUUCGUGUUAGUAUGUAAUUAAUCAAUAGAUUAGAGUUAACAUCUCUAUUAUGAUCUAAGUAAUUUGAACCACGUUAGAUAUUUUAAUGGAUUGAUUUCUUCUUGAACUAUUGAGCCUUGUUUUCUUAGAAAAUAAUGGGUCUGGUCUUCAGCCUUAUUGAGGCUGCCUGGUUGACCCAGGGUCAAACCAGCCUUGAAUUUUAUGUUACUUGGGCUCAAUUUCAAGCCCAUCCGGAAUCUGUAGCCUUAUGUGUAUUACUUUGAAGGGUUGUGAUGUAUUGGGCUUUACCUCUAAGCUCGUCUUUGCAUAAAUGGACCCAAUUAAAGGUCCUAAUAUGAUUGUUAAUCCAACUCAAUUGAUGACCUUUCCACUCCAAACGCUAGCCUAGGUCAUCUUCGUUUAAAAGACAAAUAAAUAAAUAAACAUAGUUCUUCCAUAAAUGAUUUUAGUUAAUGUUAGACUCUUGUCACAUUGAUGUAGUUUUCUAAAUCAUUUUUGGUUUUCAAAGGUGAUGCACCUGCAAUCUGUGAAUUACUCAAAUCAUCCACACAUUAAUUCCACUAAUUAUGAGACCUUUGAUCUCAAACAUGUUUUUUAGGAAAUUAAUCAAUCCUUGAAUAUUCGAAAAAUGCUUUAAGCGCGCAUUGAACUUACUAUCGUGAUUAUGUAUACGUUCGCGUGACAUAAUUACGAACCCCAAAAAAUCAAAGUAAGCGCUCGCGCUACUCAGGCCAAACAAUUUUAACAAAUAAUUAAGUGUUAUUAAUUGUGUGCACAUACGCGUGACAUGUUUUUAGCGCGCUAAAUAAAACGGAUUCACACACACGUGGUUCGUUUCAAGAUAAUUUCAUAACGUCAUAACAAGUAACUUAAAUGAGAUGAAAGGUUGAAAUGCACAUAGGUUCUAAAAUAAGUAAUAAUCAAAUUAAUACGCUGAGUGUAGAUUGUAAAGCAACCGCGUUACAAUUACAGAAUCCAGUAAUGCCUAAUACCUUCUAUCGGGUUAGCAGAAUUUCUUACCCGGUCUUCUGUGUUUCGCAGACCUUAAACAGAGUCAAUUUUCCUUGAUUUGGGAUUUAAAAAUAAUUUGGCGACUUGGGAUAUCAUAAUAAUUAUUCCAAGUGGCGACUCCAAUAAAAUAACUAAUCUCAUUUCAAUAAUGUUACUUAAAGUGGAAAAAUUUCUUUUUCCGUAAAAAGGCGGUGUGACAAUGUGUACAUGCAAAUCCCACAGGGUUUGAUAGUAGAGAACACACAACUUGUGUGUAGGUUAAGAAAGUCUUUGUAUGGCCUCAAAUAAGCCAAUAGACAGUGGUAUGAUAAGCUGAUAGAGUCCCUGUAUUCUAGAGGUUUCAGACACUCAACCAAUGACUACUCCUUCUUUACAAAAGGUAGGGUGGUUCAUCAGUCUUUGUAGCUGUGUAUGUUGAUAAUAUAUGAUCCUCAGUGGGACUAAUUUUGAAUAAAUCACAGCACUGAAGACAAUCAGUUCAGAAUAAAAUACUUAAACAAGUUACACUACUUCUUGGAGCUAGAGAUAUUUUACAAGGAUGACGGAGUGCUUAUUUCCCAAAGGAAAUUUACCAAUGAUUGGUUGAUGGAGUAUGAUUGUCUAGGGUACUCCUCUAUUUCAUUCCCUCUUGAUUCAUCAACCAAGCUAAAAGCUGAAGAAGGCAUUUUACUCUCUGAUCCAUCUUGUUAUAGAAACUUAAUUGAAAAACUCAACUUCCUCACAAACACAAGGCUAAAUAUUCCAUACAGUAUGCAAUACUUAAGCCAGUUUAUGCAAGCACCAAAAGAACCCCAUCUUAAGGCUGCUAUACAUAUACUUAGGUACUUGAAGGCUGAUCCUACCCUAGGCGUCUUUUUGUCCAAUGAUCCUUCUUAUGAAGUUACAUCAUACUGUGACUCAGGUUGGGUUGUAUGUCCUGAUUCAAGGAGGUCUGUAAGUGAGUACCUUGUGCUCCUUGGAGGCAGUCCAAUUAGCUGAAAAUCAAAGAAGAAGGCUACUGUUUCAUUAUCUUCUGCAAAGGCAUAGUACAUAUCAUUGAGAAAGGUGGUUGGAGAAUUGGUAUGGGUGAAGAGGUUGUUAGAAGAAUUAACAGUUCCAUCUAUUAAUCCUAUUCCAGUUUUCUGUGAUAGCCAGGUAUCUGUGCACAUUGCUAGGAAUCUUGUGUUCCACAAGAGGACAAAUCAUAUAGAAGUAGAUUGUCGCUUUGUGAGAGACAAGCUGCAUGAUGGUCUGAUUACACUUCAUCAUAUCUCUACUCAUGAUUAACAGGCUGAGAUUUUAACAAAGGCUCUCACAGGAUCAAGCACUCAGAUCUUUUUGGCAAGUUGGCAGUGAGUUCCUCACCUCCAACUUGGGUGGGAGGGGGAAGGGGGGAGGUUGAGAUUAUAGGGUUGUUAUAUUGUAUUUAUUUGUAUUGUAUUGUGAUUGAGGUUAUUAGUUAGUUAGCUUAUGUGGUUAGUAGUUGAAUUAGUUACAGGGGUAGUUUGGUAAUUAGCAUUUGUAUUUUCCUAUUUCCUUUUCUCACCUAUAUAAGUACUCUAUUCAGCUAAAUAGAAAGUACACAGAAUUUUCCACAUUCAUUCUCUAUCUAGAAUUUUCUUUUCCUUUCCCUAGGGGCGGCUCAACGAUAUUCGAAGGCUAAAGCUAAACUUCAACGAGAAGUCCUAAGUUUUUCCAUAUUUAAAAACUCAUUUAAUAAAAUUAUUUUAGGUUUAUUUUUAUAGCUUUUUGAGAUAUAAAAUUUUUAAUUAAUUUAUUUAUAAUCGAUUUCUUAACUAGGAUUAUAUAUAUAUUUCUACUUUCUAGGAUUAUUAUUCAAUUCUUUUAGGAUUUCCUAAUUUUCUAAAAUAUCUUUGUUAAACUCUCACCAAUUUUUUUUCUCUUCUUGGAUUCCAUUUUAUUCUAGCUUAAUUAUAUUAGUGAUUUGUUUAUAUUGCCUGUCAUUACCUGUUUAAUUGUGUAUUUGUACCCGAGAGGCAGAUUUUUUUGGGCUUAUCUGUUCUAAUUGCUUUGUGUUCAAUUGCUUAACUGUUGAAAAGUCAUUUUAAAGAAGUUUAAACUCAGCUAAGAUGCUUUAAGAGAUUUCAUAACUUCAUUGCUUUUUUACUGGUUUUGUACCACUUCUAUACAGCAUGUUGAUGUACCUUUCAUGAUUUCCUAUCACUCAAUCUUUAGUUAUGAUUAUUACUCACUGAGUUAGAGUACUGACUUUACUCCCUGCACUUCAUGUGCAGAUUCAGGUAUUUCUGCACCCGGUAGCGGGUAUUGGUUGAUCAGCGGCAGAGUCUUUGGAGUUUAGCAAGGUAGCUGCCCGAUGUCCGCAGCACUACUUUUCUCCCUUUGAUGUCAUUAGACUGUAUUUAGUACAUUUACAGAAAGUCCGUUGUAUUUUAGACCUUAGUAGAUGCUCGUAACUUGUGACACCCCGAUGUCGGGCUAUAUUCAUUUCCACACUUGUUUUAUUUCGCUAAAUCUAUACUUGUUGGGGAUUAUCCUUAUAAAUGACUUAAAUUGACUUAUUAAACUGGUAAAACUAAAUUUGGGAAUUGUGCCGGCUGGCCAUGUCUUCUCGAGAGGCACCAUCACGAUCGGUUCGAUUUUUAGGUCGUGACAUCUGAGUCCCGAAUCCUCAACUGAUGGUACCCUGAUCUCAAGUCGAUCUUAGAGAACACCUUAG